GUGUCAGCCGCCGCGGUAAUACGGGGGGGGCAAGCGUUGUUCGGAAUUACUGGGCGUAAAGGGUUUGUAGGUGGCUUGCUAAGUCAGACGUGAAAUCCCUCAGCUUAACUGAGGAACUGCGUCUGAGACUGGCAAGCUUGAGUGCAGGAGAGGAACGCGGAAUUCCAGGUGUAGCGGUGAAAUGCGUAGAUAUCUGGAGGAACACCGGUGGCGAAGGCGGCGUUCUGGACUGUAACUGACACUGAUGAACGAAAGCCAGGGGAGCAAACGGGAUUAGAUACCCCCGUAGUCC
RNAcentral lists this ribosomal RNA (292 nucleotides) under uncultured bacterium. RNAcentral's name for it is "partial 16S ribosomal RNA". It matches the Rfam family "Bacterial small subunit ribosomal RNA", at positions 505 to 796 of the family's 1533-position model. The record is from RNAcentral.